RNAcentral lists this long non-coding RNA (384 nucleotides) under Homo sapiens (human). Its description in RNAcentral is "non-protein coding lnc-GLIS2-1:1". Lineage: Eukaryota; Metazoa; Chordata; Mammalia; Primates; Hominidae. The record is from RNAcentral.
AGCAAGAGAAAAUUGGCUGCAGUGCAAAGAAGCCAGGCUCAAAAGGCAGGGUUAUCCCAUUUCUAUGACAUGUCACAGGUAGGCUGUGUAACACUGUGAAUGUAUGAAGUGCCAUUGAAUUGUUCACUGUAAAAUUCCAAGAAAACCUGCAGACUCCUGCCUUUCUGUGAAGAGUUCGUGUCCACUGUCAUCGUGGGGUGAGCUGUGAUUCUGCCUUCUGCUCUGGCCUCAGUCCCCAAGCACCCAGCACUGUGAGCAUGAGGCAUAGGAGGGGACCACGGUGUAAAUCGAUCUCUGGUCACGGAAGAGUGAAGGAUUUAAAGGACCAUGGCCUAGCCUGGGCAACAUGGCAAAACCCUGCCUCUACAAUAAAAUAUAAAAAAG